GUGGCCUGGAGUGCUCUUCUGCUCAUCUGGUUUAGCAAGUUCCAUGGGAUGUCAACACCCAGCUCCAUGGCUGGCCGUUAAGAGUUCUUUUGCAGUCCUAGGUGGCUCUGCGCCUCCACGCCCAGGGACCAGGGCCUUUUCUCUUCCAGCUCUUGUUGUGUUACAUAGAAGAUGCCGGCUGGAUGGCACAGGGGAGGGCCGUACAGUGUAGAUGCGGACUGUGUGGCAUAGGUGAGGACUGGACAGCAGAGACAGUGGCUGCAUGAUGGAGGUGAGGGCUGGACGGGGGAGGCGAGGGCUGGACGGGGGAGGUGAGGGCUGCGCAGUGUAGGUGAGGACGGGCUGGACAGGGGAGGUGAGGGCUGUGCAGUGUAGGUGAGGACGGGCUGGACAGGGGAGGUGAGGGCUGUGCAGUGUAGGUGAGGACGGGCUGGACAGGGGAGGUGAGGGCUGUGCAGUGUAGGUGAGGACGGGCUGGACAGGGGAGGUGAGGGCUGGGCAGUGCAGAUGAGGCCUGGGUGGCAGGAAUGAUGCCUGGAUGAAGGAAGUGAGAGCUGGGUGGCUUGAGUGAGGGCUAGAUGGCAUGGGUGAGGGCUGAGUGGCAUAGAUGAGGCCUGGGCAGCAGAGGCAUGGACUGCGCAUCGUAGGUGUCGGCUGGACAGCAAGGGUGAUGCCUGGACAGCAGAGGUGAGGGCUGGGCGGCAGGAGUGAUGCCUGGACAGCAGAGGUGAGGGCUGGGCGGCAGGAGUGAGGGCUGGGUGGCAGGAGUGAGGGCUGGAUGGCGUAGAUGAGGCCUGGGCAGCAGAGGUGAGGGCUGUGCUGUUCCGGUUUUGGGCUAGACGGCAGGGAGAAUGCCUAGAUGACUGGGUGGAGGCCUGGGUGGGAGAAGUGAGGUCUGGACACUGUGGGUGAGGGCUGGAUGGCGUAGAUGAGGCCUGCGCGGU
RNAcentral lists this long non-coding RNA (944 nucleotides) under Pan troglodytes (chimpanzee). Its description in RNAcentral is "long non-coding RNA NONPTRT015404". Lineage: Eukaryota; Metazoa; Chordata; Mammalia; Primates; Hominidae. The record is from RNAcentral.